UAGCAACUCUAGGACACUUCAGCCCUUUUCAGCCAGAGGGUGGGUGGAGGGGGCAACCACAAGAGGAGCUGAAUCCUUCUUGCUCUGGGGGUCUCCUCAUGGCCAGUAACCUACCAACCAAGGAGGUCUUUAUUCUGUGGGGAACUGCUUUCCUCCUCACAGGGGAUGAACAAUCUCUUCAGGACCCUUCCUCUUGACCCAGGGACCCACGCAAGCAUGCUAUGGAUCACCCGGCCCUCCAGUGCUAAAGAAGGGUCACAGCGCCCCCUGUGGUGAACUCUGUGGAGAGUAAAGAGUCAAAGGAGAAGGUUGGAUGAGAACCUCAGAGGCCGGUUCCACCAAGCUUUGCAGACUUGCUCAAGGACUCUUGACCAGCUUCCCUUUCACUCGGACACAGGAUCUGCACAGGCCACAGCUGACCUCCCUGGGCCACUUGGGAAACCCCAGGCUCUCCCACUCAGCGCUCCACAGCUCCGCUUGAGAUUCCUGUUGUCUCCCCUCCCCCUCCCCAGUGCCCCACCCCCACCCCGCAGCAGUUAGAACACAGGUAACUGCCCACUGGCUCAAAGCGUUCCUACAAGGAGGUGUACAGAAAGGAAAACAAGAAGUGGUCCUGCAGAGCCUGAGUCCCAGGCCCCUUCUCACCUCUAACUCACGGCCUUCUGGAGCCCAGGCUAUGCUCUGAGCUUGUGCUCUAUGUAUCCUCACACUGCGAUUCCCUGUCCUGCGUAACUAGCACAAGACCACUCUCACCUGUCUUGUUUGUCCGGUGCUGGUAAUUGAACCCAGGCCUCAGUCAUGCCAGGUAAAUGCUCACCACUGAGCUAUUUAUUUGUUUUGUUUUGUUUUG
This 850-nucleotide long non-coding RNA is filed under the name Fukomys damarensis (Damara mole-rat). RNAcentral's name for it is "lncRNA (ENSFDAG00000029490.1)". The record is from RNAcentral. Lineage: Eukaryota; Metazoa; Chordata; Mammalia; Rodentia; Bathyergidae.